UGGGGAAUUUUGGACAAUGGACGCAAGUCUGAUCCAGCCAUGCCGCGUGCGGGAAGAAGGCCUUCGGGUUGUCACCCGCUUUUGUCCGGGCAGAAACGAGUUUCUCUAAUACAGCGACUUCCUGCCGGUCCCUGCAGCCUCCGACCCGGCUCCCUCCGUGCCCGCAGCCGCGGUAAUACGUAGGGUGCAAGCGUUAAUCGGAAUUACUGGGCGUAAAGCGUGCGCAGGCGGUUAUGCAAGACCGAGGUGAAAUCCCCGGGCUCACCCUGGGAACUGCCUUUGUGACUGCAUAGCUAGAGUACGGUAGAGGGGGAUGGAAUUCCGCGUGUAGCAGUGAAAUGCGUAGAUAUGUGGAGGAACACCGAUGGCGAAGGCAAUCCCCUGGACCUGUACUGACGCUCAUGCACGAGAGCGUGGGGAGCAAACA
RNAcentral lists this ribosomal RNA (427 nucleotides) under uncultured bacterium. RNAcentral describes it as "bacterial SSU rRNA". It matches the Rfam family "Bacterial small subunit ribosomal RNA", at positions 355 to 774 of the family's 1533-position model. The record is from RNAcentral.